Molecule: long non-coding RNA, 367 nt
Organism: Oncorhynchus tshawytscha (Chinook salmon)
Lineage: Eukaryota; Metazoa; Chordata; Actinopteri; Salmoniformes; Salmonidae
Source: Ensembl
GUUAUAGUAGGACCAGGUUAUAGUAGGACCAUGUUAUAGUAGGACCAGGUUAUAGUAGGACCAUGUUAUAGUAGGACCAGGUUAUAGUAGGACCAGGUUAUAGUAGUACCAUGUUAUAGUAGGACCAUGUUAUAGUAGGACCAGGUUAUAGUAGGACAGAGUACCAAGGGAUGUAGGACCAGGUUAUAGUAGGACAGAGUACCAAGGGAUGUAGGACCAGGUUAUAGUAGGACCAGGUUAUAGUAGUACCAAGGCCCAACUCAGGCCUACAUUCAAUCAGAUCAGCGUUAAAGCCAUACUGCCAAUUUCUGGCAUUUUUUCUGCUUCCCCAUGUAGCUCCCUUCAGUAACCACGAGCACAACCGUUC